This is a ribosomal RNA of Scophthalmus maximus (turbot), 120 nucleotides long. The record is from Ensembl. NCBI's taxonomy places the organism in Eukaryota, Metazoa, Chordata, Actinopteri, Pleuronectiformes, Scophthalmidae.
GCUUACGGCCACACCGCCUGGUUCACGCCCCGAUCUCGUUUGAUCUCGGAAGCUAAGAUAGGGUGGGCCUGGUUAGUACUUGGAUGGGAGACCGCCUGGGAAUACCAGGUGUUGUAAGAU